Chinchilla lanigera (long-tailed chinchilla) is the source of this 1780-nucleotide long non-coding RNA. Lineage: Eukaryota; Metazoa; Chordata; Mammalia; Rodentia; Chinchillidae. The record is from Ensembl.
CUCUACCCUGCCUCUAUUGUUGCAAACACUAAGAGCCUCUAGGCUUGUGUUUAUGGGAGUCUUUGCAUGAGCUCCCACCUUCUGUGGCUCUCUCCAUGCAGUGGGAGCUGACUGAAAGCUGAAAUGCAUAGCUGGGAGGACUCGUCCCUUUAGGAGACUGGUACCCAGCAUAGUAUAGCUUCUAGGGACUUCCGUUCGUCAUCCCUGAAACACUGCAGGAUUUUCCCCUGUCUCUUGGAUCACUUCUCUGACCUUAUCGUAAUUAACAGGAAUGUAGUGCACUGUUUCAUCCUCUCCACGAGUUGUCAUCUGAUUCCUAUGGUUCCUGUCUCACGGGUCUUCCUGAUAAUUUCACUUAAGGUUAUUUCUUACCACUGCAGUAUCUCCUACCUGGAGAACAUCAUGACCUUGGCUCCAGGCAAGCAUAGCAUCUGCAGGCUCCUGUGCACUUGGAAGAAUCCAUUGUUUCCCCUCCACGGUGCAGACAUGCAAGAGCAGCAUCUGAAAGUCACCUCGUGUCAAAUCGAAGGUAAGCUGUGCGUUGGCACCACUGAAUGGUGUUCCUCCGAAUGUGACACCCUGGGGAACGGCGUCAGAAGGGCCAAGAACAUUUACUGAAAUUCAGCUUCAGAGGCACCAGCAGACCGACGGGAUCCAUCAUUCUGGCAGGUCCCAGGAAUCUGCAUUUUAGCGGGUUCCCCAAAUGACGUUCUUGCAUAGCCGAGUCUGAGUGUUAUGAUUGUUAAGGACUCCAGAAGCAGCCUGGAUCCGUUGAAGAAGGAGUAGCUGCACUUAAUGCUUUCACCAAUGAGUUGGAGAGAGCAGCCCCCACGCAACAGACGCAAAACAUUCUUCAGCGUCAUGGGCAGCAAAUUGUGAAAUCCCAGUCUGGCUUCCACCUGGCACUCAGUGUACUUCUGGGCCAUCCUGCUUUGUGAUCAGGUGGUAUUUACUUGGGGAAUAAAAUCUUCAUAUUAACAUAAGCAAAACAUAAUUAGAAAAAUCUGUUAUAAAAACCAUUCUGCUUUCCAAGCCAAAUAUAAAUUACUUUGGGGUAAAGCAUGCCAGGAAUUCCACUUUGUUAGCUGUGUAAUUAAGAACGACUGUCAUGCCAAUUGCUGUCACUGUCUAGUUUUCUUAAUUGUUUGGACACUUGCACCCCACAUCCCUCCACAUACUCACAGUGUAUGUAGUUUGAAGGAGCUGCCGCAGAGACGAUAUUACUCAUUUUAGUAACAAGUGCAAAGUGCCUGCUUCCCCGGUCCAUUCUCUGCCCCUCUUAGUGUGCCCUGGGCGGUAGGGUGACCCUAAGGAUUGUGUCACCAUCGGGGCCCCGUCCGCCCUCUGGACUCUGAUCAGGGUUGAACGAUGAGAAGAACUGGCAAGGAAGAGGAGAGAGGCCGAGUAACUUUAACCCCCAACUUUCCUGCCUCCUUGGUGUUCUAGGUUUCUUUUUUCCUUUCUUUUUUUUGUACCAGGAAUAGAACUCACGACCUUGCACUUGCCAGGCAGGCGCUUUGCCGCUGAGCUAUAUCCCGGCCUUGGUUUCUUUUAUGACUGCAGAUCUUCUGGGGUAUCAGGUCUUGCACACAGAUCUGUAGGUGAUGACCUGCUGCAGCUGAGUGCCCAGCUGAGCUCCCAACUCUGCCUGCACUUUGGUAGCUGACCUCUUCAUCAAGACCUCUGAAGAGUCACCUCCAGGGGUGUCCCUGCACACUCAUGGGUUGUGUGCCGAGAUGGGAUGUCUGUCCACAUUAUGGGGUUGUCUUACGAAUAAAAU